AGUCUGUCUAUCUUUUUUAUACAUAACGUAACAUCCUAAUUGAUAGCAAUGUCUCCUUUUUAGGACAACGAUAAACUUUCACAACUUCGAAUUCCUUGGAUUUUCAAUGUAUCUUUAAAGAGAUUGGAUUUGUCUUCUGUUUCUUCUUCUUCUUCUUUUUCUUCUUCUUCUACGGGAUACAAGGUCAUUUUUCUGGAGAAAUAUUUCUGCAAUGGGUUUUAUCCGACAAAUCGUCGCCAGCAGAAAGCCAUCUCACGCAGAAAAGUGAUCGCCAAUUGAACCCCUCCCUUUCUUUUGCCCCGAUCGAUCUACACAUUUUAACUCUUAAAUGUCCUUGAGCUCGAGAAGGAGAAAAAAAAGGAGAUUUGGCAGACAGACAAUGAGGAUAAUUGAUAUUAUUUCUUUCUUCUUUUAUUAUUCUUCGAUUAACGACAUCUUCUCUUUUUUUCUUGUUGUUCUUUUCUAAUUCAAACUUUCUUCUCGUAUUUGUUUUUAUUUUCGUAAAAAUAAUUAAUUAAAUUUUUAAGGAAAGCAAUGGAACGCAAGAUACAGGAAUAUAAUGAGAUCAGUUUCUAUUACACUUUCAAGUAUCUUUAUUUGAUCGAGAUUUGUUAAAGUGGAAAAAUCAUAAAUAAAAAUUAUUCAAGCGGAUAAUAAUUGAUGAAUAAAAAAGAAUGAACGCAGCAUGAUUGGAUAAUGUUGUUUUUUUGUUGAAUAAUCAGAUAUUUUAACUUAAAUAUAUUAUUUUAAAUAUAACAAGAAAUACAAGAAAUAAAGAAAUAUUUUCUUUCGAU
This is a long non-coding RNA of Vespa crabro (European hornet), 794 nucleotides long. RefSeq lists it as uncharacterized. The transcript has 2 exons. The record is from RefSeq and is a predicted model, not a curated record. Lineage: Eukaryota; Metazoa; Arthropoda; Insecta; Hymenoptera; Vespidae.